This 392-nucleotide ribosomal RNA is filed under the name uncultured bacterium. RNAcentral's name for it is "partial 16S ribosomal RNA". It matches the Rfam family "Bacterial small subunit ribosomal RNA", at positions 523 to 918 of the family's 1533-position model. The record is from RNAcentral.
AUACGUAUGUCGCAAGCGUUAUCCGGAUUUAUUGGGCGUAAAGCGCGUCUAGGCGGCUUAGUAAGUCUGAUGUGAAAAUGCGGGGCUCAACCCCGUAUUGCGUUGGAAAAUGCUAAACUAGAGUACUGGAGAGGUAGGCGGCACUCCAAGUGUAGAGGGGAAAUUCGUAGAUAUUUGUAGGAAUGCAGAUGGGGAAGCCAGCCUACUGGACAGAUACUGACGCUAAAGCGCGAAAGCGUGGGGAGCAAACAGGAUUAGAUACCCUGGUAGUCCACGCCGUAAACGAUGAUUACUAGGUGUUGGGGGUCGAACCUCAGCGCCCAAGCUAACGCGAUAAGUAAUCCGCCUGGGGAGUACGUACGCAAGGAUGAAACUCAAAGGAAUUGGCGGGG